CUGAAUUUAGUAAGCUGUUCCUCAAGAAGCAAACACAAUUGCUGAGUAUCAGGCAGUUGCAAAAACUACAUGGGCAACAAACCUUCUUGAACUACAUAUUCUCAUACCAAGGCCUCUGUGACAACCCAAUGUUUUAUAGCCGCAUGAAGCAUACUGUAGUAUUAUGUUGGCAAACAGGACGUUACCACUCACACUCAUAGCACUGUUCAACUUGACAAUACUCUUACCAGGGUGAGGACCCAAAUUGAUGGGGCGUAUCUU
RNAcentral lists this long non-coding RNA (261 nucleotides) under Gossypium barbadense (sea-island cotton). Its description in RNAcentral is "long non-coding RNA (GBAR_LNC014456)". Lineage: Eukaryota; Viridiplantae; Streptophyta; Magnoliopsida; Malvales; Malvaceae. The record is from RNAcentral.